GGCAGCUUUAUCGCCAGAGUCCCUGAACUCUCGCUUUCUUUUUAAAUCCCCUGCAUUGGAUCACCGGCGUGCCCCACCAUGUCAGACGCAGCCGUAGACACCAGCUCCGAAAUCACCACCAAGGACUUAAAGGAGAAGAAGAAGUUGUGGAAGAGGCAGAAAAUGGAAGAGACACCCCUGCUAACGGGAAUGCUAAUGAGGAAAACGGGGAGCAAGAGGCUGACAAUGAGGUAGACGAAGAAGAGGAAGAAGGUGGGGAGGAAGAGGAGGAAGAAGGUGAUGGUGAGGAAGAGGAUGGAGAUGAAGAUGAGGAAGCUGAGUCAGCUACGGGCAAGCGGGCAGCUGAAGAUGAUGAGGAUGACGAUGUUGAUACCAAGAAGCAGAAGACCGACGAGGAUGACUAGACAGCAAAAAAGGAAAAGUUAAACUAAAAAAAAAGGCCGCCGUGACCUAUUCACCCUCCACUUCCCGUCUCAGAAUCUAAACGUGGUCACCUUCGAGUAGAGAGGCCCGCCCACCGUGGGCAGUGCCACCCGCAGAUGACACGCGCUCUCCACCACCCAACCCAAACCAUGAGAAUUUGCAACAGGGGAGGAAAAAAGAACCAAAACUUCCAAGGCCCUGCUUUUUUUCUUAAAAGUACUUUAAAAAGGAAAUUUGUUUGUAUUUUUUAUUUACAUUUUAUAUUUUUGUACAUAUUGUUAGGGUCAGCCAUUUUUAAUGAUCUCGGAUGACCAAACCAGCCUUCGGAGCGUUCUCUGUCCUACUUCUGACUUUACUUGUGGUGUGACCAUGUUCAUUAUAAUC
Molecule: RNA transcript, 807 nt
Organism: Rhinopithecus roxellana (golden snub-nosed monkey)
Lineage: Eukaryota; Metazoa; Chordata; Mammalia; Primates; Cercopithecidae
Gene name: prothymosin alpha-like
Exons: 1
Source: RefSeq, a predicted model, not a curated record